GUCAGAAAAUCAGCUCCGCAACUUCGUUAAAAAAGAAUGGCUUUAAGAAUUUUCAAAUGUAAAGCGCAUACACGUGUUGCUAGUUUGUUAGAAGGUUGUGGCGUGAGUUGGAACCUGAGAUCGAACCCGACACGCGAUUGAGGCUUUUACCAUGUCAGCCGAUGGUCUGAUGUGAAGUAAUUAUCCAUUUCGUUUUGUUAACCUACAACAGGUAGGAACAAUUGACGUCUGACUGUUUAAUUGAAACGCAGCCUAGUUAUGACCAAAGACCGGCAUGAACAAAAUGCGGUUUCGGCUUAGUAUUCUGAAGAUGAAGGUGAAGAAAUUCAGCGAAGCACAGCAAAGCGGCAGGAACAACCAUGACUCACUUAAGGACUCUAAGCAUAUGCAUUCAUUUGAAAGAAGGUGACGA
Molecule: non-coding RNA, 412 nt
Filed under: Soboliphyme baturini
Lineage: Eukaryota; Metazoa; Nematoda; Enoplea; Dioctophymatida; Soboliphymatidae
Description: Eukaryotic large subunit ribosomal RNA
Rfam family: Eukaryotic large subunit ribosomal RNA
Source: Rfam by way of RNAcentral